CCUACGGGAGGCAGCAGUGGGGAAUAUUGCGCAAUGGGCGAAAGCCUGACGCAGCGACGCCGCGUGAGGGAUGAAGGUCUUCGGAUCGUAAACCUCUGUCAGCAGGGAAGAACGGUCACUGUGCUAAUCAGCAGUGAAUUGACGGUACCUGCAAAGGAAGCACCGGCUAACUACGUGCCAGCAGCCGCGGUAAUACGGAGUGUGCGAGCGUUAGUCGGAAUUACUGGGCGUAAAGCGCUCGUAGGCGGUAUGUCAAGUCAAGGGUGAAAUCCCCGCGCUCAACGUGUGAACUGCCUUUGAAACUGGCAAACUUGAGUGUGGGAGAGGAUAGUGGAAUUCCAGGUGUAGGAGUGAAAUCCGUAGAUAUCUGGAGGAACAUCAGUGGCGAAGGCGACUAUCUGGCACAUAACUGACGCUGAGGAGCGAAAGCGUGGGUAGCAAACAGGAUUAGAUACCCUUGUAGUC
Molecule: ribosomal RNA, 465 nt
Filed under: uncultured bacterium
Lineage: Bacteria
Description: partial 16S ribosomal RNA
Rfam family: Bacterial small subunit ribosomal RNA
Source: RNAcentral